Molecule: non-coding RNA, 3674 nt
Organism: Podarcis lilfordi (Lilford's wall lizard)
Lineage: Eukaryota; Metazoa; Chordata; Lepidosauria; Squamata; Lacertidae
Source: the annotation of a GenBank genome assembly
AUUGAUAGAGCUCCUGGGAAGAGGAAGGGUCAUGAUGUACCUCUGUCGAUACCCUAGAAACCUUGGUAAUUGACAAGCCCCACAUCUAUCUUAAUGAUAGGCAUUUCGCCAUUUUUUCUUAGAAAAGAUGACAGUGGGGGGGGGACAGUAAGCUAUCGAGACAUUUGCUAUACUUCCCAACUGGUUUGUCCCUUGUGAUAGCUAACAGCCACCACCCUGUACUUGGAUAUAUAGCUCUGAGCCCUAAGUAGCACACUCUGGGGAUCGCCCCCUGCAUAUUUUGCUUUUAUUCACUUUAACUCACGUUCCCACAUCCCAAGGAGGAAUCCAGAGCACCACAAACAAAAGCUCUUUAUAAAAAGAUAUCAGAGGGGAGGCUUCAAAAUUGGGUGCUUCCGAUUCCAUUAAGGUCAAUGGGAGCUUAUCCAUCAAUUUCCACCGAGUCAGAAAGCUCCACUCCAUGGGUGGUUCUCUUGGAAAAGGUUACUAUAAAACAUGCACAGCAGGGCUUCAUAUUGAUUGUGUCUCACAGACAUAAUCCAUAGAACAGAUGCUCGUACCAAGUGUGAUUUCAGGUCAGAAUAUUUCCCCUACUGCAACAUGUGUAACAGAAAAUGAUGAAAUGAUGAAUUAAUGUUACAGCAGAGAGAAACAAAACGGAAGCACAAUCAUGAAUUCCUAAUCUCAGUAGGGAAAGUCUCUGUCUAUUACUAGACCACCUCAGGCUACAGGUGGGGAAUUCAAUGCUUGAAACAUCCCCCUGCCCCCACCUCCCAAAAACCCUCUGCACAUGCAAAUAUAGCACAGAAAGGAGACAGCUAGGAUAAACUCUUGCCCCAGAGAUGCUAAUUAUCCAUUUGUGGGGAGUUUCCCAAAUGGGAGCCUCAAACCUGGUUUAAGGUGCUGGUUUUGACCUGUGAAGCCCUACACGGCCUAGGACCCACAUACCUAUGGGACCGCUUCUCCUGGUUUGCCCUGCAUAGGACCUUAAGGUCCACAAAUGACAACAUUUUGGAGGUCCCAAGUCACAAGGUAGUUAGAUUGGUCUCAACUAGGGCCAGGGCCUUUUCAGUACUGGCCCCGACUUGGUGGAACGCUCUGUCACAAGAGACUAGGGCCCUGCAGGACUUGACAUCUUUCUGCAGGGCCUGCAAGACAGAGCUGUUCCGCCUGGCCUUUGGUUUGGACUUAGUCUGCCCCUUAUGUUUCUCUCCCCUUAUGGUUUUGAUCUAUGGGCUACUAUUAAAAUGAGGCUACAUUUUAAAUUGUAUUUUUAACCUGUAUUUUAAAUUGGUUCCCCCCUCCAUUAUGUUUUUAUUGUAAUUUUACUGGUGUUAGCUGCCCUGAGCCCAGCUCUGGCCGGGGAGGGCAGGGUAUAAAUAAAAUUUUAUUAUUAUUAUUAGGAGCCUCAAGUGGUACUCUGGGAAAAGUCUUGCCAUUUGGUUCUGAUGAAUGGAUCAACUUGCCUUGAAUCUAUCAUAGGAAAAGUUUGGACAAGAAGAGUUCUGCAGGUCACCAAUAACUUAUUGUAUGAUCUGUUUUAACCAUUUAACACUCCCAUUUCAAGUCAAGAUGGCACCAAUAUAGACCCUAUUGGAAUGUAGGCCAAAAGUGGAAUAGCAAAGCACUUUCUGAACUAGACUUGGAUCUGGUCAAUUCUAGUAGAUUCUGGAUCAAGGCAAGUCCUCUAACUAUCACAAUCAGAACAACAACAACAACAAUUCCUUCCAGUAGCACCUUAGAGACCAAUUAAGUUUGUUAUUGGUAUGAGCUUUCGUGUACACGCAAACUUCUUCAGAUAUCUGAAGAAGUGUGCAUGCACACAAAAGCUCAUACCAAUAACAAACUUAGUUGGUCUCUAAGGUGUUACAGGAAGGAUUUUUUAAUUAUUAUUUUGUUUUGACUACAGCAGACCAACACAGCUAUCUACCUGUAACCAUCACAAUCAGCAAAUUGUGGGGAUGAUCUCAGGCCACAGUAGGCCUAACUUCACCAAAAAGCCAAUUUUUGAUCCAUUUUGGAGUACAGACUGAGAUGACCAUUCCAGAUUCUUAGUAACCUGUAGUAUUUAUGUGGGACUGCAGUUGGAUUGUUUGAGGUCCCAUCCAAACAUUACAUCAUGGAAAUGAAUAAUUCCAGCUGUCUCUGCUUGUAAGACUGAUAUUUUUUGCUUGCUUAGUAUUCCACCACUUCUGCUUUACCAAACACAUGAUUUACAACAAGAAAUGCUUAAAACUUCAAAUAAAAUUUAAGAGGGACAAAAGCCAGAUAUUUGUGAACUCUGAAAUGCUGUAAAUUUUUUGGUGUGGUUAUGAAAUAAUACCUUGGUUUUCUUAAAAAAAAAAAAAAAAACCACCUACACUACUCAGAGAAUCCACAAGCCAUUCAUCUGAUCAGGUAUUCUAAAAUGCCUUUGUUCUAAUAAAAUGGUGUCUAUUUGAUUCUUAUUUAUGGUCAUGUACAGUCCCCAAAAUGGAGCUGGAGUACUUAGAUUCCCAUUAGGCAAACAGUGUGCUGAAGGAUAUUCAUUCAUCUUGGCUCUUUGAGAGCUCACUCCCACAAAAAGCUUUGUUGCUCGGAACUCGCAUAACGCAGGAUCUUUUAUUUGCCAAACAACCACUCAUUAUUAGCUGUGGAGUUACAAUUUUAUUGACAAGAGCAAAGAAAAAGAAAGAAGCAAACGUGACCAGUAAGUAAUAAAUCCAGGGUUCUACAGUACAGAGUAUUCUUUUGUAAUCCAACUAUAGAGAGCACACAAUUGGGGUGGGGACAGAGAAUAGGGAUGUUGGCAUGUCCAGCACAUGUCACUUGAGUCUACUUUUAAGUGUCUCAUAUUUUGCAACAUGUUGAUUCCCUUCACUCAUUCCCUCCCUUUCAAUUAAUAUUUUUUGUCUAUGAAUUUAUCACUUUAACUCUUGGAAAUAAAUAAAGCGUGUUCUCCUUCAUGGAGAGCACGUGUUGCGGUGGGGGCCACCAGAACACUCCAAAGUUGUGGGGCGGGCUAAUUGACCGUUGGCCACUGAUGCGAUUGGGCUUCCCUUGUCAUUGGGAAGAAGUUAAUGUUGCCAUUUGUUGAUUGAUAGCCAGAAAUGCUAAAACUCCUUGCACAAGGCUAGAGCUUCCUCUUUUCGCCCGUGCAUCAGAUUGCCCGUCCCCCCUCCUCCCUAGAAUUAGGGUUGUUCACUUGACCUUGCUAUGCCUGUCAUGGGGUCGUCUGCUCUUGGGGCAGGGGCCCGGUAGGAAUUUUGUCCAUCUGGCUGAUUGGCUGGGGCCAUUUGGUUUUUGCCUACUGCAUAGCAAAUCGUCACAACUUGUAAGGUUGCGGUUAGGCAUUGGCUUAUGGUUUGGUUGGUUGAGGGGCAUGGAUUGGCUGUGCCUGCCCCUCUAAUGCUGCUGCUGCAAGGGAUUCUGUUAAAGGAAUCGGGGGCUAACUAUUGCUUGUCCACCCUGUCCAGGGGGCUCGGGCCAGUGCAAGAGUUCCUGGCUGCAUUUGGGGUGGGCUGAGGGCAGGUUCCCUGCUCCCCCCCAAGUGUAUUCCCCUUUUCUGACUUUCGCAUGCGUGCGGAAUGUCAGUCUGUCCCCCACGGUGGGGACAGCUAGUCACAACCAAUGCCUAAGCAACCACUCACAUGUUUGUAUUUUAAUAAAGUUGUGGCCAAAAUUAUGCCAAAAAC